CACCUACGGGGGGCAGCAGUAGGGAAUCUUCCACAAUGGGCGCAAGCCUGAUGGAGCAACACCGCGUGAGUGAAGAAGGGUUUCGGCUCGUAAAACUCUUUUGUUGGAGAAGAACGUGCGUGAGAGUAACUGUUCACGCAGUGACGGUAUCCAACCAGAAAGGCACGGCUAACUAAGUGCCAGCAACCGCGGGAAUACGUAGGUGGCAAGCGUUAACCGGAUUUAUUGGGCGUAAAACGAGCGCAGGCGGUUGCUUUGGUC
This 261-nucleotide ribosomal RNA is filed under the name uncultured bacterium. Its description in RNAcentral is "partial 16S ribosomal RNA". It matches the Rfam family "Bacterial small subunit ribosomal RNA", at positions 335 to 589 of the family's 1533-position model. The record is from RNAcentral.